RNAcentral lists this ribosomal RNA (546 nucleotides) under Triticum aestivum (bread wheat). RNAcentral's name for it is "partial small subunit ribosomal RNA". The record is from RNAcentral. Lineage: Eukaryota; Viridiplantae; Streptophyta; Magnoliopsida; Poales; Poaceae.
AUGCAAUCACGCGGACGGACGGACGGCUCAAGCCGCGGCCGCGUCCUCGCACUCGUCGACCUCGGCGGGGCUGCGAGACUCAACCAACUGAUUCACAUGGAACGACUUGGAGUAGGAGAUGUCCCCGGAGACGGUGACGUCGACGGAAUAGCAGAGCCAGUCCUGACGUUCCCGGAAACUGUCGUCGACGCUGAGGACGAUGCGGCACGGCCGGAUGCAUUUCGGGUCCGUGAAGCUGAAUUCGUCGGUGCUGCCACGGUUGAACCUGGCACCAUCGGCGUCUUCCUCGUGUGUCACGAUGGGGCCGCCGCCGCGCUGGCUGUCGGCGAACAACCAGAAGUUCACGAAAGCCUCCGUGCCGUCCCCAGGCCAGUCCCCCGUCUUCACCUUCAGCCGGUACUCACAAUCCCCCUUGGUGGUGCCGCUGCCAGCGAGGAAGGCGGCCACCAGAAUGACAAGGGCGAGCUUGGGCAUGGCAAUGGCGAUGGCCAUGGUUGUGGUGGCUACCUGCUGCGUAUACUAGGUAGCUAUACGAUAGAUAUAUGA